AGAAAUGGGAGAGAGGAGAAUGGAUUGGAUGAUUAUUUAUUUUGAAGAAGCCAUCCACUGUAAAUAUGACAUUUUAAGUAUGGAAACUAUACCUGAUAGCCUGAUGGUGUCUGAAGUAGAAUUUUCCUCAGCUUGCUUGUAUUGCCCCUCUGUCACAUUUUCACCGACCACGAUCUAAUAACUAGUUUUUUCUUCUUGUGUUUCUAAGAACUCCUGUAAUUUUUUGAAGCUCGAAGCUUUUGUU
Molecule: long non-coding RNA, 244 nt
Filed under: Setaria viridis
Lineage: Eukaryota; Viridiplantae; Streptophyta; Magnoliopsida; Poales; Poaceae
Description: long non-coding RNA (SVIR_LNC002062)
Source: RNAcentral